This 253-nucleotide ribosomal RNA is filed under the name uncultured bacterium. Its description in RNAcentral is "partial 16S ribosomal RNA". It matches the Rfam family "Bacterial small subunit ribosomal RNA", at positions 524 to 776 of the family's 1533-position model. The record is from RNAcentral.
UACGUAGGGUGCAAGCGUUAAUCGGAAUUACUGGGCGUAAAGCGUGCGCAGGCGGUUGUGCAAGACAGAUGUGAAAUCCCCGGGCUUAACCUGGGAACUGCGUUUGAAACUGGGAGACUGGAGUGUGGCAGAGGGGGGUGGAAUUCCACGUGUAGCAGUGAAAUGCGUAGAUAUGUGGAGGAACACCGAUGGCGAAGGCAGCCCCCUGGGUUAACACUGACGCUCAUGCACGAAAGCGUGGGGAGCAAACAGG